This 186-nucleotide unclassified non-coding RNA is filed under the name uncultured fungus. Its description in RNAcentral is "sequence contains ITS1". Lineage: Eukaryota; Fungi. The record is from RNAcentral.
UUAUUUUGUUUAUAUAAAACGGUUACAUUCAUUAAACUAGGGGUUUGUAUAAAAUGAUUGGCUUUCGAUUGCUCAAAAGCCAAAACAGUGCACAGGUGUAUGUGGAUUGUGAAGGGUUGGGGAGGUCAGUUAAGACGCUCCCCGAUGUAUUCACUAGUGAUCCUUCCGCAGGUUCACCUACGGAAA